RNAcentral lists this ribosomal RNA (585 nucleotides) under uncultured bacterium. Its description in RNAcentral is "partial 16S ribosomal RNA". It matches the Rfam family "Bacterial small subunit ribosomal RNA", at positions 355 to 1375 of the family's 1533-position model. The record is from RNAcentral.
UGGGGAAUUUUGGACAAUGGGGGAAACCCUGAUCCAGCCAUCCCGCGUGUGCGAUGAAGGCCUUCGGGUUGUAAAGCACUUUUGGCAGGAAAGAAACGUCGCGGGUUAAUACCCCGCGAAACUGACGGUACCUGCAGAAUAAGCACCGGCUAACUACGUGCCAGCAGCCGCGGUAAUACGUAGGGUGCAAGCGUUAAUCGGAAUUACUGGGCGUAAAGCGUGCGCAGGCGGUUCGGAAAGAAAGAUGUGAAAUCCCAGAGCUUAACUUUGGAACUGCAUUUUUAACUACCGGGCUAGAGUGUGUCAGAGGGAGGUGGAAUUCCGCGUGUAGCAGUGAAAUGCGUAGAUAUGCGGAGGAACACCGAUGGCGAAGGCAGCCUCCUGGGAUAACACUGGCGCUCAUGCACGAAAGCGUGGGGAGCAAACAGGAUUAGAUACCCUGGUAGUCCACGCCCUAAACGAUGUCAACUAGCUGUUGGGGCCUUCGGGCCUUGGUAGCGCAGCUAACGCGUGAAGUUGACCGCCUGGGGAGUACGGUCGCAAGAUUAAAACUCAAAGGAAUUGACGGGGUCAUAGCUGUUUCCU